UAACAAGGAUUCCCCUAGUAACUGCGAGUGAAGCGGGAAAAGCUCAAAUUUAAAAUCUGGCAGUCUCACUGUCCGAGUUGUAAUCUGGAGAAGCAUUUUCUGUGCUAGACCGUGUACAAGUCUCUUGGAAUAGAGCGUCAUAGAGGGUGAGAAUCCCGUCCAUGACACGGAUUACUAGUGCUUUGUGAUAUGCUCUCGAAGAGUCGAGUUGUUUGGGAAUGCAGCUCAAAAUGGGUGGUAAAUUCCAUCUAAAGCUAAAUAUUGGCGAGAGACCGAUAGCGAACAAGUACCGUGAGGGAAAGAUGAAAAGCACUUUGGAAAGAGAGUUAAACAGUACGUGAAAUUGUUGAAAGGGAAACGCUUGAAGUCAGUCGCGUUGUCUGAGACUCAGCCUUGCUUGCAUGGUGUACUUCUCAGUUAACGGGUCAACAUCAAUUUCAGUUGGUGGAUAAAGGCAUUGGGAAUGUGGCACCUUCGGGUGUGUUAUAGCCCUUUGUUGCAUACACUGACCGGGAUUGAGGAACGCAGCACGCCACUAAGGCCAGGGGUUCGCCCCAUGUAACGUGCUUAGGAUGUUGGCAUAAUGGCUUUAAGCGACCCGUCUUGAAACACGGACCAAGGAGUCUAACAUGCCUGCGAGUAUUAGGGUGGAAAACCCUUGUGCGUAAUGAAAGUGAAAGUUGGGACCUCUUUGAGGGCACCGACGCCUGGCCCUGAAGUUUACUGACGGCGCUACGGUAGAGCAUGUAUGUUGGGACCCGAAAGAUGGUGAACUAUGCCUGAAUAGGGUGAAGCCAGGGGAAACUCUGGUGGAGGCUCGUAGCGAUUCUGACGUGCAAAUCGAUCGUCAAAUUUGGG
RNAcentral lists this ribosomal RNA (858 nucleotides) under Xylodon niemelaei. Its description in RNAcentral is "partial large subunit ribosomal RNA". It matches the Rfam family "Eukaryotic large subunit ribosomal RNA", at positions 66 to 915 of the family's 3401-position model. The record is from RNAcentral. Lineage: Eukaryota; Fungi; Basidiomycota; Agaricomycetes; Hymenochaetales; Schizoporaceae.